GGUCGGAAGAAUCUUGCUAUAUUGGGUGGAAAACAGCAUGGAUGUGUCGAUUAUUGCUCAAAUUGAAAGUUUGAGCACAGCGGAAAAUUUGAUCCAUCAGGUCCGACACAAAUUGAAAGAAUAAAAAGACUGACCAUGUGGUCAUCAUUUCCGUUGAAUAUAAUUCUUGACCAUACAAAACUGGCGAAGAAAAUGAGGAUUAAGUGUUGUGUGGGCGUUGAAAGUUCUUCAGGAUAGCAAAUAGCAUUUCGGCGUCGAUUUCGUCGAAUAUAUGCACAAACUGCGCUUCGAAGGCACGACCCAAGAAAAAGUUGUAUGGGAAAAACUCUCGAAAAUAAAAAAGAAGCAUGGCCUCAACACUUCAUCUGCUGGAAUGAAUGCGCCAACUGUUGGUUAUCAAUCAACCAUUGAAUUCAUCUGACGAAGAAUUUCUGGCAGUCACUCCAUUGGCCUUGACUUUGUCUUCACCCGGAGGAACGCGUCUACUGGGUAAUCCUGCACAGCUGCAGCACUGUCAAAGGCUCACAACUGCAGUACGAUAUUAGCAGCCAGCGGCAAUAAUUUUAAAUUUGGCUAUCAGGCUGGCUCUGAAAAAAAAGUAAAUGAAUAGUGAAAAUUUGUACGGACUGCUAAAGUUCGACCUAAGAAAUAGUUUUGAAUUACUAGGAACCGAUCUACAGUUUCUGGACAGACUCGACUCCUUUUGUCGCUCAAUACAACACCCGCUAGGCUAAUGUUUUGCUCGCUGUUAUCACCCGCAGCGGGUAUUGUGAGGAUGCGUUUCGCCAGAGUGGCCAGUCUCGGAAACAGGGAAGCUCAACAGUGUUUCGGGUGCGUCGUCAUUCCUUCUACCGUAUUGCAAGUACAGCUCCGGCUCUGCCUACGGCGCUAGAAUACCACUGCUACUUUCAUCCAUUCACGACCCAAAUCGAUAUCUUUUGGAAUCUCAGCGGACUAAGAUCUUUGCUUUCACAGUGUGAGGCAGCAAACUGAAAAAGACUGACCGGUUCAUGUAGUUCACAGCGUUUCUUGCUACUUGUAGGCAUGUCAUGAUCAAUGGAGCAUGGUCUCUCAAAUAAUUGCCAUCCAAUGCAUGCUUCAAAACGGUGUCUGGAUAAUUGACCAUGCAGAAAACAACUCCUUACAUUUGCAGAGAUUUCAGAUUGAUCCGAUGAAAAAUCAGUCGUAAAUAACACCAGUGAUUUGAGCUCAAACUUCUCCGUGAUGUAUUAGGCCGUAGUCGUGAGGUAUGCUGUUUCCGAAUACCAAUCCGACCACAGAUCAGCAUCGCAAGCACAGCAUUUAGCUCUCAAAGCCUCCCUCACUUCUGGCAACUGUUUCGCUCUGACCUUCUCUGCAACGACGCACGCUUUCCUCGAAACUAUUGAUGGGUCCGGCAGCACACUUUCGAGGUCCACAUUCCCGAAUUCCGCACCAACUUCGAUAAGCUUCUGCGCCAAAUUCCUAAAACCUGGUCCAUUAAGCACGCUAAAUGGACGCAGAUCCAAGGCUUCCCACUUCACGCAAGCAUCAAAAAAUCCGGUCUUUGACGUGCUGUGGUACGCUUUGGGCAGAAGCUUGGCCUCUCGGAAUACUCUCUUGUACCACUUUCGGGAUACUCUCCUGUUCCACUUCAGAAGCCACUUCCGGGAUACUCUCCUGUUCCUCUUCAGAAGCCGAAGACUCAGGAUCGGAAUCGGAAGCGCCUUACCUGGUUCUCUCGAAGUGUUAAUUCAGGUUCGAGGUACUGUUGCCUUUCGGGAAUCGGAAAAGGGAUCCGCAGUUCACGCACUGCACAAAGCCGACACACUCCCUUGUGGUGCUCAAACACACGUUCUUGAAUAUACUCCAAGCUUCGCAUGAUCGGGCACCUUCCUUGUCGCAAAGGAUGUACUCGCCUGAGCGAACCCGGAUGCGAACGGUAGCAGCGUUAACCGGUGCGUUUUCCAUAAUGGGAGAAUUUGGUUUUAUUGUAAGCUCAGUAGAAAGAGAGAUUGAUCAAAUGUAGACUCAACUAAAAGGCUUCUCAUUUCACACGGUAUACUUUGGACAAAGAUUGGCCUUCCAUAGUUCUUUCCUGAUCAUGUAUUUCAAAUCCAGCUUCGCAACCAGAAGACGAGGAACUAAUUCCUGCGUCCUAAAAGCAGAACUGACAACCCUGCCCUGUAACUUUCAAAGUGGCGAUUAAGAUUCGACGUGCUAUUGCCCUUUGGGAACCGGAAAAGAGAUUGAUACUUUGCACACUGCACAAACCCAACACUCUCCCUUGUGCUGCUCAAACACACCUUCUUGAAAAUGCUCCAAGCUUCGGAUGAUCGGCACCUUGCUUAUCAUCGCAUACGAUGUACUCUCCUGAGCGCACCCGAAUAGCACUAUCUACUGGUGUGUUUUCCAUUCUGGGUUGUCAUUCAGCAGUCGAGAAGAGCAUCGGAUAUCUUAGAUCCUGGAUAGGACCAAGGAAAUUGGGUGUGCCUCUCUUGGGCAUUUCGUUAAUUUACGAACGUUUGGACACAGUACAGCUCCAAUGAAGUGGUCUUCUCGGAGACAACAAUUAAUUCCAACAAAAUAGAAUAGUGUUGAACCAUUCAACCUCUGUUGCUCUCCCUUCUGGCCAAGAACAUCCUUAAUUUUUGAAAUUACAUCAACGACAUCAACUAGCAUAUCGACAUCUGCAUUCCAGCGGACUUCAAACUUUGCUUUCACAGUGUAAGGCAGCAAACUGAAAAAGCCUGACUAGUUCAAGUAGUUCACAGCGUUUCUUGCUACUUGCAGGCAUGUCAUGAUCGAUGGAGCAUGGUCUCUCAAAAAAUUUCCAUCCAAUGCAUGUUUCAAAAAGGUGUCCAGAUUAUUGGCCAUGCAGGACACAAAGUUCCGAUUGGCGAAUGCUUUGGCAAUAUUUGAGCGCUGGUCCGUUAUGUGAGUCACUUCAGCAAUGUCCUCUUGGGAAAUCUGGAGUUUUUCAAUUGCAGCAUGUGAAAAACUCCUUACAUUCGCAGCGAUUUCGGAUUGAUCCGCUGGGAGGUCAGUCGUAAAUAGCACCAGCGAUUUGAGCUCGAACUCCUCCGUUAUGUAUUUGGCCGUAGUCGUGAGGUAUGCUGAUUCCGAAUACCGAUCCGACCACAGAUCAGCAUCGCAAGCACAGCAUUUAGCUCUCAAAGCCUCCCUCACUUCUGGCAACUGUUUCGUUCUGACCUUCUCUGCAACGACGCACGCUUUCCCGAAACUAUUGAUGGGUCUGGCAGAACACUUUCGAGGUCCACAUUCCUGAAUUCCGCACCAACUUCGAUAAGCUUCUGCGCCCAAUUCCUAAAACCUGGUCUGUUAAGCACACAAAAUAGACGCAGAUCUAAGGCUUUCCACUUCAUGCAAGCGUUAAAAAUUUGGUCCUUGACGUGCUGUUGUACGCUUUGGGCAGAAGCUUGGCCUUCCGGAAUACUCUCCUGUUCCACUUCAGAAGCCGAAGACUCAGGAUCGGAUUCAGAAGCACCUGCUCUGCAUCUCUCGAAGUGGCGAUUCAGGUUCGAGGUACUGUUGCCCUUCGGGAAUCGGAAAAGGGAUCCGCAGUUCACGCACUGCACAAAGCCAACACACUCCCUUGUAGUGCUCAAACUCACAUUCUUGAAGAUACUCCAAGCUUCGCAUGAUCGGGCACCUUCCUUGUCGCAAAGUAUGUACUCGCCUAAGCGCACCCGUAUGCGAAUCGUAGCACUGUCAAUCGGUGUGUUUUCCAUUCUGAGAAUGAUAAUGGGAACUACAUUAUUCUAUUGUAAGUUUUUUAGAAAGAGAGAUUGAUCA
This is a long non-coding RNA of Uranotaenia lowii, 3795 nucleotides long. RefSeq lists it as uncharacterized. NCBI's taxonomy places the organism in Eukaryota, Metazoa, Arthropoda, Insecta, Diptera, Culicidae. The record is from RefSeq and is a predicted model, not a curated record. The transcript has 4 exons.